GCUGGCAAGACGACUCAAAUGCAUCGGCAGAAAGUGUGCACGAGUCCCGCGAUAGCGAGUAGGUGGCUAACCUUGACGACCACUUACACGAUCGACGCUCUUGCACGUGCUUAUACACACAUGCAUAUAUAUACAAGCGCGCACAAGUUGCAGCAACGACGCAGCACGCGACGCUAUCGGUAUACAUGUAUAUAUAUAUGUACGCGAUACUCGACCACGUAUAUAUGUAUACGGUUGAUUACCGUGAGUUUACAUAGGGUGUCGGUUAACUGGUAUAUGGGCCAAACAGUUUCGAGAAGAAUGCAAAAAAAAAAAAAAAAGGAAAAAAGACUCGUCUUCGAUCGAACUUCCUUCAAAAAAAGCGAGCUUAGUUGUUGUGAGGACAAGGAAACGGGUGUGUCUAGUAUGUUGAGACGAAUUGAAAAAGUAUUGGAACAGGUGCGGCAGACUACUUGUGGACGUGUUCCGUUCCACGAAAGGCCGCUGCAAGGAUAUUUUUUUUCUUUCGAACAGUAUACGAUUAACAAAGAAAACGGAGACUGCCAAUAUAAACAAGUUAAAAAGAGAGCGAAUCUUGUUAUCGGUAGACGAGAAUGUCAAUUUUUCGCGUGAAAUUGAUAUUGUUUGCAUUAUUGGUCACGUAUUUGUGUGCUUCGUGCACUGCUAUUGGCCUGUCGUGAACAAGUUUUAUCGACAUGAGAUAUAUAAAAGGGAAACGAUCGUUCGUGACCGUCCCGCUUAUCUCCAUCAGCAAUCUGGCUGGUGUUGUUAAUUUAAACGUGGUAUCGAACGUGCCAUGCCGAUAGAGAACCACCGGCUGAUCGUUAAUUAUAAUCGUUUCGAUGCGAUUCCUUGGUAUGUACUGAUUCGCGUUUGUUUCAUCGGCGUGCUGCUAAAAAUAACCUCUCGCGGCACAGCGACUCCUCUUUGAAAUGUGUUUUAAAACACGUCUUUACGAAAACGUAAAGCGUAUCUGAUUCAGCAUCUAGUUACAGGCAUAACGUAAAUCUUCGUUAGAGGUUCCCAGUCACAGGGAAUUAUUUCCCUUAUCAGAUUCGUUGUUACAUGUCGGUAUCGGAGGUGUAUAUUUCGGUCACCUGGUAGAAAUCUCAUGCAAGGCUCGUCGCGCACGCUCGACAUUGCAAACGCUCCCUUCCCCUUUGCUUUCGACGAUUUCCCCCACUGUUGUGCCAUUGGACGAGCCAGCUCGUGACGGCGGAGAGUGAGGAAGAGGGGAGGUCGAUUCUCCCGUUUCGGCCGUGCACUAGAACUUGACUCCUAAGCUCGACAGUGACGGCGCAAGCUCUAUCUGCGUCUUUCUGUCCCUUUUCUUCUCCUUUUUGCUCUUAUUCGUGUUCAUCGUUCUUUCCUCUCUCGUUCUAACAUCUCCUCCCUCUCCCCACCACAGUCGCAUCGCAUCAAACUCGCUUGGAGACCUCGAGCGAGCGAUCGAGAGUUGACCGUUUGAACGCGAAACAACCAAAGAGGAGUGCAUUGAACGAAACCAAAUCGAUACCAAAAGAAGAGGGGAAGUUAGCUCGAUUUAGAGAAGGAA
This is an RNA transcript of Apis dorsata (giant honeybee), 1555 nucleotides long. RefSeq lists it as uncharacterized. The transcript has 2 exons. The record is from RefSeq and is a predicted model, not a curated record. NCBI's taxonomy places the organism in Eukaryota, Metazoa, Arthropoda, Insecta, Hymenoptera, Apidae.